UACAACCGAUCCCAUGUACUCAAUAAGUAUCAUAACUAACAAGUAUAGAACAAAUAUAUGAUCAAAUCAGGAAAUCUCAGGUAAAAACACCUAAGAUUUUUUUGAAUAGUGUAUGUACGUAGGCUACAUGUGAAUUCUUGUCAUGUAAACUUUUUGCUUUUGUCUUUAUUCAUUUUUCUUGACACACCUUUUUGCAACAACCCACGUGAACAUACCAAUUUCAUAGAAAAUGUUUUCUGACUUGGUAGCUUUCAAUGGCUUAUAUAAUUUUUUUUUCGAUGUAUUUUUUUCCACUUCAAGUUGCAGAAUAAGUCAAUGCCAACUCUUUUUUGCUUUAUGUCAUUUUCAGCAAGUACAAUAUAAAGUUGCUUUUGUAUCGUCACAUAAAGUGAUUUACUUUGAUGACAUCAUGUGAAAAGGUCUUGAAUUUUGUGUCUUUUAUCAUGUGCCUUAUCAUCAACCCAUUAAUUUUGACAAUAUUUUAGUCACAAACUCUAUCUUGAAAGAAAAAAGCCAGCAGAAAUUUCUAUGUAAAUGUCAUUCAUGAUAUCUUUUUCUCCUGACAUGAUUUUGAUGUUUGGAUUUGAAUCUUCUCUUCUUUUUAUGCUUAAGAGAAAAAGUUUAUGCCUUCUUGAGAAUAUACAUCUUUAAAAUGUGAUUCAGUAGAUGAUAGACCAUUUUUAAAGGCAUUUCUCUUGGGAACAUGUGAUGUAAAUAAAUUUUUAGUGUGAUACUUCACCUUUAUUUACAUCAAGUAACAGAACUUCAUGAUAACUUUAAUAUCCUUUUAUCAUUUUUUUGUGCACACUUCAAAAUUCUCAUUACAUGACCAAGAAUUUUUUUCGCUGGACUUGAAUUGCGUCUUUUUUUCUCCAUUGAGUAUUUGUUUGGCUUUAAUAUUCUCAUAGUAUUUUAAAAACCAAUUUGACAUGUCUUUGGGAAUUUCUUGAGUUCCUCCUUAAACGUUUAAAAUCAAUUAGAGCAUGUAAAUAUUUUUUCUCUUUUUCUCUUUUUAUACUCCGACAGGUUUAUGUACUUCUUUUCGGUAAUAUUUUUUAAUUAUUUGAUUUGAAUUGGUGCAAACUACAUCUAUCAAUCACCAAACAAACCAAUUAAUUUACUAGACUUUUGGUUUGUUGCAGGCAACAAGAAUAGAAUAUAGUUUCAGGAACUAAGGAGACUUGAGUUGUUUAGACUUUUUAACCAGUAACUCAUCUCCUUCACAAUCUUUGAAAUUAUUCUAUAUUUUUCUUCUUCUUUUUUCCCCGGAGUUUUGAUAAAGCAACAAUAUGAAGUGCUUAAAAUUUACCCCGUGUCAAGUAGAAGAUUUUCUUUUUCGGCGAAGGCGAUUACAUCGUCUAAACCAAAACUUUACUUUAUAUGAGGCGAAGACCAUUACACCAUCUGAGCCAAAACUUUUACUUUGUCUGAAGCGAAAACCAUUACACCGUCUAAGCUAAAGACUUUAUUUUGUCUGAAGCGAAGACCCUUACACUGUGUGAGUUGAAGAUUUCAUUUUGUUUGAUGAUUUGACUUUACUUUAUCUGAAGCGAAGGCCAUUACACCGUUUGAGAUAAAUACUUUAUUUUUGUCUGAAGCAAAAACCAUUAUACCGUCUAAGCUAAAAACUUUAUUUUGUUUGAAAUUUGUCUUUACUUUAUCUGAAGCAUAGACCAUUACACCGUCUAAGCCAUAGAUUUUACUUUAUCUGAGGCAAAGAUCAUUACACCGUUUAAGUCAAAGAUUUUGCCUUUUCAUGCUUGGUAGGAUUAGUCUCGAGAUAGGACAUAUUAUAUUAUGGAUUUAAGAUCAUAAAUAUUACCUUUCUAAGUUAAGUGGUAACGAACACAUUUCUCUCUUUUUGUAGUCUAAACAUGGUUUACUUCAAAGACUCAAGACUUUCUUCCUCCAAUUCACAAUACCUUGUUAUUUCAGACCAUAAAGGGGAGCAAGGUUGAGACGAGGUUAUUAGUUGAUAGGCCACUAGUCGGCCAAUAUGCUACAAUUUCGUAGGUACCUUUGAAGGAUGCACCUUAUUUGGCAGACCGGACACUUGAAUACAAUAGUCGUCCUCCCAAGACGUGGAUGGUUUGCACCCCUAAUCAUCAUGCUUGUAAUGUCGCGAGUACCUUGCCAUGUCUGGGGUGAAUUAUUAACAAGGAAACAUUUUGGGUUGAUGAUUUACCGUUUGGCGGGGAAUGUCAUUACGUUCCUGGCUGCUGGGAAUGGGCAGAAGAUGUCUUAUAUAGGUGUCGUCUAACCCUGGAGGGCUUAUGACGCUGUAUAUGCUUCACUCUUCACAUAUGACCGUAAUACAAAUAUCAUGCAGGCCUUCUGUGAGGCAUGGUGCCCUGUUACAAAUACGUUGCUUACCUCUGCUGGAGAACUAUCCAUAUCACUUUGGGAUUUAUGAAAGGUCGGUGAUCUGCCUAUAGCAGAAUCUCCUUACGAGAAAGUUAUGCCAAAUGUUGAAGAACUUACAUACACGUAUGUCGAGGGGAGAAGGUUUCUUCCCCAGAUUUAUGAGCAUUUGUUUGAUGCCUUCCAUCGGCUCCGAGAGGGAACUGGCAAUGACCCAAAGGUUUUUGUGAAAAAAUGGGUAGAGUUUUGGUGCAGAAAGACAAUGAAGUACACUCAACCUCCAUUAAGGAGAGAAAAGAAGUGUGCUCGUUUGAAAUCGACGCACAAUCCUACUGAGGUCAUGCAGUUAAUUGGUUGACUGUUAAAGAAGCCUUAUUCUAUAAGCUAGGAGUUAUAGGUAGCAAGAAAGACGAGACAUACGUGGCCGCUUUUCUAUCUUGUUGGUUAUGUAUUUUUGUGCUCCCUUCAAUAGAAGGCGUCUUCAUUUGUCCUGGGACCUUUAAGAUUGCAUGUCUUCUGGCGUGUAAACGACGAUUUAGACUCGCGAUCCCGGUCUUAGCUAGCAUGUAUAAGGAUUUAAACGCGAUUUCAAAGUGCCUGUUGCUUGAUCUUUGCUAAGCUUACUUUCCAGCCCAUUAUGUGUAUGGUUGGUUAGUCCAUUACUUUAAGACUCAUUUCCCGUAUGCAAAGGGGCCAAUUGUUCCUCUUAUGGCCGCAUGUUCUAGUGAAGGUGUUGCUAGAUAUUUCGGAAAAGAGGAAGCAAGGAAGCGUAUCCAUAAUGGAGAAAAUAUCAAUUGGACUUCGACGAUGCCCCGCAGAUCUGAUCCGUCCUACUACUAUGAUGAUGGUAAGGCAGACGAGUUCGAGUUAAAUUUCUUUAUGAGUAUUCGCUCGAAUUAUCUUCCUUUGAGGGAUGGAGUCGACUUUAUUAUUAAACCUUAUAGCUCUCACCGAUUUAGCCGCCAAUUUGGUUUUUAUCAAGAUACCCUUGGUCGCUUGAAGCGGGAUUUUCGUAAGGCCUCAUUAGAAGAAGGGUUAAGACUUGCACGAAUUUGUGUGUUGAUUAGAUCCAAGUCAAGGGCAGUAUUUCCUCCUUUUGGGUCCAACAUGAAGAAGUUUACAUCGUCUAGCUAUAAAUAUUGGUGGGCAAGGGCGCAUUGAAGCUUUCUUGAAGACCACUUACAAUUUUUGAUGAAUACUGUUGAGCCAAUCACAAAUACUCUUCAAGAGCGCAACAAGGAUGUCCUAGUGAUUGAUAAGCUUCCUGUUUUAAAGUCUAAGGUAGUUGAGACGCGCACCGGCAAUGAACCUCAGCUACACAAAGAAGUUCAAAGAGAAAAGAUCCAUGCUCCAGUUGACAAAAGUCUCAUUCCAUUAGAUGUAGUUGUUGAUGCCUCUAACGAGCGACUAUCCUAAGAGGAGAGUGAUAGCAGCAAAGGAGAUCAAUAUUGGAAAAAGAAAAGACCUAACCCAUGAGUUGUAGAGGUCCAGAGCUAACACUACCAGCUUAUAAUGAGAAGCCAAAUAACAUUUGAGCGUUGCAACGAGGAAGGCCACAAGAUAAUGGUGAGUCUAUAGCAGGACCGGACCCGCAUAAAUCAUCUUCCACAGCUAAGGCAGAUCAAGAUGCAACUUCUAUUUCUCGUGAUGGAAUUAGGGCAAAGUUGGGCUCUGAUUUACGUGAACAACCAACAAUUUCAACGUCCAUUUUUUAUGGAAAGAAGGUUGUCUUGGAUAUUCGAAAUGAGUUUAUCUUGAAGCUUUGGACUUCGAUCCAACGUAGGUUGAAAGGUAGUGAUGCAGACAAGGUCUCUGAGCUAGAAGAGAAUACUAAAGUGAUCCUUGAGGCAAUGGAUGUGGAUGAUAUGGAUAUUUUCCCUUUGAGAAACUUACUGGAGUCCCUUUUUGAGUUUGCUGCUUCAUAUGACAAGACACGAUCUGCUUUAUCUGAGAAAGGUUGAGGAGACUGCAAUAUCAGAAGUUGAGGUACACCUUAAAAAUGCCUUGAUUGAAGAAGAAGAGAAGGCUAGAGAAGUGUCAUCUAUCCGUUAGUCCCUAGUUACAGUAAAAAAGAAGAUAGAGAAGCUCCAUGAAAAAGAGAACAACUUAGAAGCCCUUCUAGAAGUUGCUGAGAAAGAAGUUGAAGAAGCCAAGUUAGGAGCCUCAACUCCUAGAAAGGAGUAUGACGCAUGCUGCAAUGUUGCCUUGUUGACUGCUGAUGACUUGGCCGAUUUGGAGAAGAAAAAGAAAUACUUGGAAGCUAUGCUCAAGGAUUUGGCCAACUACAAGCUGUGUUUAGAUUAGGCUAUAAACACUGUUUUAUUUGUUUUUCCCUUUCUUCUUGCAUUUGAUUGUUUGGUAUAUGUUCUCAUCAACAAUAAAACUUCUUUCGUUUCACUUUA
Non-coding RNA from Nicotiana tabacum (common tobacco), 4763 nucleotides. Lineage: Eukaryota; Viridiplantae; Streptophyta; Magnoliopsida; Solanales; Solanaceae. The record is from RefSeq and is a predicted model, not a curated record.